CUUACCGGAGGCGUUAUGGAUCCCGAUCCCACCCCUCUCUCCCGCUGGAGAGUAACUUUCCGGUAAGUCAGUUUUCACUGCCUUACCGAUUUGUGAGGCAGUGACAUU
RNAcentral lists this non-coding RNA (108 nucleotides) under uncultured Kluyvera sp. RNAcentral describes it as "Magnesium Sensor". It matches the Rfam family "Magnesium riboswitch aptamer (Magnesium responsive RNA element)". Rfam says of the family: The Magnesium sensor RNA element is a cis-regulatory element that regulates the expression of the magnesium transporter protein MgtA. The record is from RNAcentral. Lineage: Bacteria; Pseudomonadati; Pseudomonadota; Gammaproteobacteria; Enterobacterales; Enterobacteriaceae.